GUGACAUGACCAACAUAUGUCAUGCUGGCCAGAGCCUCACCUCUGAAACCCAUCGAGUUAAUUGUCUGCAGAUCCUCAUAAGUAGAUAGUUUUGAUGUUGUGUGCCUUUCACACAGUAUUGGCAGGUCUGCAUACCGUAUGCCAUGACCGUUGUCGGAGACCUGGAUAAGCUUGAGGCCGCCGUCCUUGACGACAACGGAGAUGGAAGUGGCGCCGGCGUCGAG
RNAcentral lists this unclassified non-coding RNA (224 nucleotides) under Hevea brasiliensis (rubber tree). Lineage: Eukaryota; Viridiplantae; Streptophyta; Magnoliopsida; Malpighiales; Euphorbiaceae. The record is from RNAcentral.